This 276-nucleotide ribosomal RNA is filed under the name uncultured prokaryote. RNAcentral's name for it is "partial 16S ribosomal RNA". It matches the Rfam family "Bacterial small subunit ribosomal RNA", at positions 524 to 800 of the family's 1533-position model. The record is from RNAcentral.
UGCGUAGGGGGCUAGCGUUAUCCGGAAUUACUGGGCGUAAAGGGUGCGUAGGUGGUUUCUUAAGUCAGAGGUGAAAGGCUACGGCUCAACCGUAGUAAGCCUUUGAAACUGGGAAACUUGAGUGCAGGAGAGGAGAGUGGAAUUCCUAGUGUAGCGGUGAAAUGCGUAGAUAUUAGGAGGAACACCAGUUGCGAAGGCGGCUCUCUGGACUGUAACUGACACUGAGGCACGAAAGCGUGGGGAGCAAACAGGAUUAGAUACCCUGGUAGUCCCUGA